UACGUAGGGGCCUAGCGUUGUCCGGAAUUAUUGGGCGUAAAGAGCUCGUAGGCGGUUCGGCAAGUCGGAUGUGAAAUCUCCACGCUUAACGUGGAGGGGCCAUUCGAAACUGCUGUUACUCGAGUCCGGUAGGGGAGUGUGGAAUUCCCGGUGUAGCGGUGAAAUGCGCAGAUAUCGGGAGGAACACCAGUAGCGAAGGCGGCACUCUGGGCCGGUACUGACGCUGAGGAGCGAAAGCGUGGGGAGCGAACAGG
This 254-nucleotide ribosomal RNA is filed under the name uncultured bacterium. Its description in RNAcentral is "partial 16S ribosomal RNA". It matches the Rfam family "Bacterial small subunit ribosomal RNA", at positions 524 to 776 of the family's 1533-position model. The record is from RNAcentral.